RNAcentral lists this small nuclear RNA (191 nucleotides) under Salvator merianae (Argentine black and white tegu). Its description in RNAcentral is "U2 spliceosomal RNA (ENSSMRG00000020072.1)". It matches the Rfam family "U2 spliceosomal RNA". From Rfam's summary of the family: U2 is a small nuclear RNA (snRNA) component of the spliceosome (involved in pre-mRNA splicing). The record is from Rfam by way of RNAcentral. Lineage: Eukaryota; Metazoa; Chordata; Lepidosauria; Squamata; Teiidae.
AUCGCUUCUCGGCCUUUUGGCUAAGAUCAAGUGUAGUAUCUGUUCUUAUCAGUUUAAUAUCUGAUAUGUCCUCUAUUUGAGGACUCUAUAUUAAAUGGAUUUUUGGGAUUGGGAGAUGGAAUAGGGGCUUGCUCCGUCCACUCCAUGCAUCAACCUGGUAUUGCAGUACCUCCAGGAAUGGUGCACCUCCC